GAUGAACGCUGGCGGCGUGCCUAAUACAUGCAAGUCGAGCGAACAGAUAAGGAGCUUGCUCCUUUGACGUUAGCGGCGGACGGGUGAGUAACACGUGGGUAACCUACCUAUAAGACUGGAAUAACUCCGGGAAACCGGGGCUAAUGCCGGAUAACAUUUAGAACCGCAUGGUUCUAAAGUGAAAGAUGGUUUUGCUAUCACUUAUAGGUGGACCCGCGCCGUAUUAGCUAGUUGGUAAGGUAACGGCUUACCAAGGCAACGAUGCGUAGCCGACCUGAGAGGGUGAUCGGCCACACUGGAACUGAGACACGGUCCAGACUCCUACGGGAGGCAGCAGUAGGGAAUCUUCCGCAAUGGGCGAAAGCCUGACGGAGCAACGCCGCGUGAGUGAUGAAGGUCUUCGGAUCGUAAAACUCUGUUAUUAGGGAAGAACAAAUGUGUAAGUAACUGUGCACGUCUUGACGGUACCUAAUCAGAAAGCCACGGCUAACUACGUG
Molecule: ribosomal RNA, 497 nt
Filed under: uncultured bacterium
Lineage: Bacteria
Description: partial 16S ribosomal RNA
Rfam family: Bacterial small subunit ribosomal RNA
Source: RNAcentral